UUUUGUUAUGCAUACACGUGU
Molecule: microRNA, 21 nt
Filed under: Schistosoma japonicum
Lineage: Eukaryota; Metazoa; Platyhelminthes; Trematoda; Strigeidida; Schistosomatidae
Description: miRNA-3126
Source: RNAcentral